Molecule: long non-coding RNA, 1744 nt
Organism: Callithrix jacchus (white-tufted-ear marmoset)
Lineage: Eukaryota; Metazoa; Chordata; Mammalia; Primates; Cebidae
Source: Ensembl
AUCACAGAACAACAAAAAAAAGGAAUUAAUUAAAACCAGGAAUAUUUUAGAUCUUGUCUCAGAUUUAAACUUAAUGAGAAAAAGAGUUUUAGAGAAAAUUGGUAAAACCAUUGGUAUGGUAGAAGAACGCAAAGCAUCAGUAGAAAAAAACCUCAUUAUGGCAAUGCCUUAAAUUUCUGAAGUACUGAGAUCAAAUAUUAGCAGAUUCACUCCGAAAGUCAUGUUUUCUCUCUAGAUUUCAACCAGUCAGCUAUUGAAGAGAUGGCAGGCAAUGAAUCUGGCUCCUUCUAUGGGAAGAAAACAGAAACACGUGCUGCUUGUCCGACUGAGGCAGGGGAAACAAGUACCUUCAUGGGUUGGGGGCAUUGGCUGAGCUCCCAUCCCACCACCAGCACCAACUUUCCAGGUGUGAGAAUACGGCAUCUUGGAACUGAUGCUCCAGUUCCCAGUUGAACCACCCCAGGUGAGGCUGUAUGAAGCAGAGAUGAGCUUUGUGCCAGUUGCGCCCUUGUGAGAUAGGUAAAUGAUUGUUGUUUUAAGCCACUAGGUUUUGAGUGCAGAAUAGAAACAUAGGGGCUGAUUAGUAGUUCUAUGAAAUGUCAUGUAAGUAGUGAGUCACAGGACCCCACACAUCCGAUGACCUUGUCACUCACUUUUCUUUUUUUUUUGUGAGACAGAGCCUUGCUCUGUCGCCCAGGCUGGAGUGCAGUGGCACGAUCUCGGCUCACUGCGUCGUCCACCUCCCUGCAACCAAUUCUCUUGCCUCAGCCUCCCGAUUAGUCACUCACUCUUCUAUCCAGGUCUCAUUAAUUCAUAGGUCUUUGUAGGCUUUUAGGCAGAGAGAAACCGUUUCCAAGGAGCUUAUCUCAAAGAACUGAAUCCAAGCAGCACACAGGAGAAAUGGACUUAGGUUGGAUGUUGCUGAGGGAAAAAUAAGGAGAAAGUGUAUUCUCUGUGCUUAAAGGACAUCGGAAUGGGAUCAGAACUCUUCAAAUGCACUCGGAGGCCAGUUUCCCCAAAGACUGAAUCAAGUUAAAAGAGGAAGGCAGCUUGGACUCACUUGAAAUAAAGCUGCUAGGAUGAAACGAAUGUAUUAAUAAAAAAACAAGACAUAAGAAAUGGUAAUAGUGAAGGGAAGAGAUCAAUCUUGUGCAGGGGCUUGUGUUGCAAUGCGGAAAAAAUUUUGUAAUCAGAAUGAAACACUAGUGAUCAUAAACAAUGGGUGUCAGUGAGGGCUCCUGGAGAGGCACAUGAUUCCCAUGACUCUGAUCCAUGGCGGGUGCUAGGAGUGGGAUACGUGGAGAGAUAGGGAAGCCGUGAAUGUUUGCCAGACAAAAAAGUUCCCUUGGGCAGGAAGGACCACUAAUGAGGCAGAGUUACAGUUGGAAACACAUUUAUGCAGUGGCUCAGUAUUUGGUACCAAUUCAACAAAGACAUGGCCCAUGGGAUAUGAUGUACAUCUAUCAGCCAUAGAAACUCUCUAUGCAAACUGCUCCAUCUCCCCGAGCCCAGGGCCUUCAAGCUUUAAGGAGACUAGGUUGAAAUUUGAGUCUGCGAGGCAUGUUUGUUGUGUCCCCUCAACCUCUGCUCCGUUGUCUUCCUGCUGCCCUUUUUAGGAAGGCCCAGGCAGAAUAGGAGCUGCUUGGACUGUAGUUAUCCUUAUUGUACUGCAAGCCCCCCUAGACGCAGUGGGAGCAUCUUACUCACACUACGGGUUCUUAAAAACUGCUUAUUGGCUGGGUGG